This 310-nucleotide ribosomal RNA is filed under the name uncultured bacterium. RNAcentral describes it as "partial 16S ribosomal RNA". It matches the Rfam family "Bacterial small subunit ribosomal RNA", at positions 503 to 807 of the family's 1533-position model. The record is from RNAcentral.
AAGAGACAGCAGUAGCCGCGGUAAUACGGAGGAUCCAAGCGUUAUCCGGAAUCAUUGGGUUUAAAGGGUCCGUAGGCGGUCUUGUAAGUCAGUGGUGAAAGCCCAUCGCUCAACGGUGGAACGGCCAUUGAUACUGCAGGACUUGAAUUAUUGGGAAGUAACUAGAAUAUGUAGUGUAGCGGUGAAAUGCUUAGAGAUUACAUGGAAUACCAAUUGCGAAGGCAGGUUACUACCAAUUGAUUGACGCUGAUGGACGAAAGCGUGGGUAGCGAACAGGAUUAGAUACCCCGGUAGUCCCUGUCUCUUAUAC